UACGAAGGGGGCUAGCGUCGCUCGGAAUUACUGGGCGUAAAGGGCGCGUAGGCGGACAGUUAAGUCAGAGGUGAAAGCCCAGGGCUCAACCCUGGAAUAGCCUUUGAUACUGGCUGUCUUGAGUGCGGGAGAGGUGUGUGGAACUCCGAGUGUAGAGGUGAAAUUCGUAGAUAUUCGGAAGAACACCAGUGGCGAAGGCGACACACUGGCCCGUAACUGACGCUGAGGCGCGAAAGCGUGGGGAGCAAACAGG
This 253-nucleotide ribosomal RNA is filed under the name uncultured bacterium. RNAcentral's name for it is "partial 16S ribosomal RNA". It matches the Rfam family "Bacterial small subunit ribosomal RNA", at positions 524 to 776 of the family's 1533-position model. The record is from RNAcentral.